AAGAAGCCGAACAUUACAACUGCAAACACAUUUCAAGUUCUCCGGUUUUGAGAAAACUUCCUAGGGUUUUAAUUCAUCGUUUCUCUUGUUUUUGCAAUAGGAACAACUGUGGUUACCUCACUGCUCUGGCUUUGUGCUGACGGAGGGCACUGGGGAGAGAUCCAUCACUGCUGAUGUUGAGGCUUUGCUGAUAACCUCUGCCCGGGGCUGGGUGAAGCUACAAACGCUGCCCAGUCUUCGGAGGUACAGGACCAGUCUGUCAGGCUGUUGGCGCACAACAACAAUUGUUUUAUUGUCAGAGGAUCGUGGUCAUCUGCAAGGAAUCAGUUUUCAAAGAAGCAUUUGAUGGACUGACACCCACUGGAGCUGGGGACAAGAUGGAAUGCACCGAUUCAAAGCGGAUUAGGACUUUCUGUUCCGGAAAUCAAGUGAGUUUUGAAGAGGCUGAUGAAGCUGGAUUUCAAAACUAUCAAUCUGGUUUUCAAAGUGUGUUGGGAUUCAGACUGGCAAUAGCAAAAUGGGGUUUUUACACCACAGAGUGGUCACCCCUAUUUGACAACAGUGGAAAACUGUGGCUGUUCAAUAGCUGUUGAUGAUUCUUUUACAAGGGACUAAAGUGAAGCCUACUGAGUGACACGGGGCAUUGCUCUCAUCAUGGGAUGUAUGUUUCCAAGGUAUCUGCUCUGCAAGGGUCACAGCCAGGUGAGCACUGAAAGCCAUGGGAGAGUGUGGCAUGUUUUGUAGAGAGGGCAGCAGUAAGGAGAAAUGCUACAUAUAUCAGACAAAUCAUCUCUUCUUUCAUUGAACAACUCCAGUCAUGACCUCUGAUCCUGUUGGUAAAAGCUCUGAAUUUAGUUUCUACUGUCCCCCACCCAAUAUUUCUUGUGCAUUUGUUAUAUAGCUUCCUGCAAUCUCAUUUAUUGCUCUCCAGAGCUUACAGAAUGUGUGCUUCCUGCAAAAUUCAGUUUAUAUUUUUGCCAUUAACUAUAGAUACUCUUUUUACACUCUAAGUGUUUACACGCUUAGAAAACUUUCAGUAUUAAGUUUCAGUAUGUUAACGUGAAAAAAACUGGAAAGAAACUAUUUCUUGUUUGGAAUUGAUCAGGUUCUCAGCUGAAUGCUUGCACUUCAGGUUGUUGGAAUUACCGAGGCAGCUCUUGCAUUUUCCAUUGGUUGUACUGUUCUGCGUAUCCAGGUUCAGAAGCAGCAAA
Long non-coding RNA from Lagopus muta (rock ptarmigan), 1211 nucleotides. RefSeq lists it as uncharacterized. The transcript has 3 exons. The record is from RefSeq and is a predicted model, not a curated record. NCBI's taxonomy places the organism in Eukaryota, Metazoa, Chordata, Aves, Galliformes, Phasianidae.